Molecule: ribosomal RNA, 800 nt
Filed under: Listeria monocytogenes
Lineage: Bacteria; Bacillati; Bacillota; Bacilli; Caryophanales; Listeriaceae
Description: partial 23S ribosomal RNA
Rfam family: Bacterial large subunit ribosomal RNA
Source: RNAcentral
GCGAGUCUGAAUAGGGCGCAUAAGUAACAGGUCGUAGACCCGAAACCAGGUGAUCUACCCAUGUCCAGGAUGAAGGUAAGGUAAUACUUACUGGAGGUCCGAACCCACGCACGUUGAAAAGUGCGGGGAUGAGGUGUGGGUAGCGGAGAAAUUCCAAUCGAACUUGGAGAUAGCUGGUUCUCUCCGAAAUAGCUUUAGGGCUAGCCUCGAGGUAAAGAGUCAUGGAGGUAGAGCACUGUUUGGACUAGGGGCCCUUCUCGGGUUACCGAAUUCAGAUAAACUCCGAAUGCCAUGUACUUAUACUCGGGAGUCAGACUGCGAGUGAUAAGAUCCGUAGUCGAAAGGGAAACAGCCCAGACCACCAGUUAAGGUCCCCAAAUAUAUGUUAAGUGGAAAAGGAUGUGGGGUUGCUUAGACAACCAGGAUGUUGGCUUAGAAGCAGCCACCAUUGAAAGAGUGCGUAAUAGCUCACUGGUCGAGUGACCCCGCGCCGAAAAUGUACCGGGGCUAAACAUAUUACCGAAACUGUGGAUGAACCUCUUUAGAGGUUCGUGGUAGGAGAGCGUUCUAAGGGCGGUGAAGUCAGACCGGAAGGACUGGUGGAGCGCUUAGAAGUGAGAAUGCCGGUAUGAGUAGCGAAAGAAGGGUGAGAAUCCCUUCCACCGAAUAUCUAAGGUUUCCUGAGGAAGGCUCGUCCGCUCAGGGUUAGUCGGGACCUAAGCCGAGGCCGAUAGGCGUAGGCGAUGGACAACAGGUAGAGAUUCCUGUACCAGUGCUAAUUGUUUAACCGAUGGGGUGAC